RNAcentral lists this ribosomal RNA (253 nucleotides) under uncultured bacterium. RNAcentral describes it as "partial 16S ribosomal RNA". It matches the Rfam family "Bacterial small subunit ribosomal RNA", at positions 524 to 776 of the family's 1533-position model. RNAcentral also lists the same sequence under 1 other name. The record is from RNAcentral.
GACGUAGGGGGCGAGCGUUGUCCGGAAUUACUGGGCGUAAAGAGCACGUAGGUGGACCAUUAAGUCAGGUGUGAAAGACCGGGGCUCAACUCCGGGGUUGCACUUGAAACUGGUGGUCUUGAGGGCAGGAGAGGAAAGUAGAAUUCCUGGUGUAGCGGUGAAAUGCGUAGAAAUCAGGAGGAAUACCAGUGGCGAAGGCGGCUUUCUGGACUGUCCCUGACACUGAGGUGCGAAAGCGUGGGGAGCAAACAGG